GGGAUCGAGCGCGAGUGAUUUCCGGGAUUUGCGAGUUAUCGAGAUACGCGAGGUGAGUCUUCUCACUAUACUUUACCUUGAGUAGGUAAUCAGAGUUAUGUGACAGAGUAUUUGUAUGCUAUAUGUAUGUUAUGUGUUGUACUGCAUUAUUUCUAUGUGAUUUAUGUUGUGCAUGUUUAUAGAGUUGGAACCGGAAGGUUCACAGAGUUAGAACCAGAGGGUUCACAGAGUAGGGUCCACGGACCCACAGAGUUAUAGCCUCGAGUGGCUAAUAUGUGUUAUGUGUGGUAUUUUGGGGAACUCACUAAGCUUUAUGCUUACAGUGUUGGUGUUAUUUGUUUCAGGUACUAGUGAUGACCGUGGGAAGGCGCCGGCUUGAUCAAUACACACACAUGGGAUUUCUUUUAUGAUAUGUGAUCUUGGGAUUCUUUGUAUAACAUGGAUUGGAGUUUCGAACAUUGAUGUUUUUAUGAAAAUUAAAUGAAUAUGUUUUUAUAUUAUGCGAAAAAUUAUUUUGAAAUUCACGGUGUUACAAGUUGGUAUCAGAGCCUUGGUUUGAGGGAUUCGAGUACACCUUCGGGCGUAUUUGAACUCAAACUGAGGAUUUGAGAAGUAUUUUCAAAAAGAGUAAAAGAUUUUUGGAAGAACGCAGAGCAGAGUUGUGUGUACGAUCAGUCCGCGCCCGAACGGUGAUUUCCCAAAAUACCCUCAUGUUAUGUGAUAUUGAUAUUGAUAUGAUGUAUUCUCAUGCUAGAGUAGGCUAGGUACUCCUAUUAGGACUAGAGUGGCCUGAUUUGUAAUGCUUUAAUCUAGGGAGAGGUGAGCCUCUAUGAGAUGCUUGAGAGUGAGUAGGUAGCAGCGAGGGGCUUAUGAGAGAUCUGUUAGAGAAUGGAUUGUGCAUGAUAGAGUACUUGGAAUUAGGAUCCGAAGAAGAGGACAUGGGGUGUAUUCUGAUACGGUGCAGACAGUAGUAUUGGGCCCGUACUACUGAAAGCACCGGAGCGGUGUACAGCCCAAGUAGGAAUCUUUGGAAUACCAAGGAUCAAGGAGGGAUGAGUUGUCGAGUGUGAGUAUGCUCGAAUGGAUUCUAAUUUAUCGUAUGUUGUAUUUCAGAGGUAGAUCAUGGUGAGGACACGUCUGAUGCUUGAGAGAUGUGGGGCCAAUGAUGAGGUGAUCCGUCGGAUCAUCCAUGAGGAGGUGGUUGUGGCCAUCAGGGCAGAGAUACCAGAGAUGUUUGGGUCUAUUAAGACCACAUUGAUUGAGACCUUCGACGAGCGUUAUGCCGCUCUUUCUAAGGCUGCUGUUGCAGCGGCCACCACAGCUAUUGCUACUGCGAGGCCGCAGGGUGGUGAUGCGUUGCUGUUCCGAGAGUUCAGCAACACAAAACCGCCAGAGUUUGAUGGGACCCAGGACCCGGUGGCGGCUAUGAGAUGGAUUUCUGACAUAGAGGGGUGUUUCUUCACUUGCUCAUCUCCUGAGCAUUUGAGAGUUCGGUUCGCGCUGAACCAGCUUCGCUUGGGAGCGAAGGACUGGUGGAAGUUUGUGACGGCGCACUUUACGCCUGCUGAGCUUGCGGCAGUGACCUGGGAGAGGUUCACUGCCAUGUUCCGAGAUGAGUACGUUCCCCAGGUGGAGAGGGAGCGUUUGGCCCAGGAGUUUCUGACCCUCAAGCAGGGUACUGAGUCUGUUACGGUGAUUACCAGGAUGUUCCAUGAGAGGGCGAUGUUCUGCCCUGAGCACGUGUCCACUGAGCAGGCACGUAUGAGCCGAUAUUUGAGUAUCUUGAGGCGAGACAUUCGGGAGUUCGCGGCGAACUCCUCGUACCGGACAUUUGCCGAGCUUCAGGCAAAUGCCCGGAAGAGGGAGAUUGAGCUAGAGACUCAGGCCAGGGAGGAGGCGGAGUCUCAGGGGAGGGAUCGGCGACCGGCACAGUCUCAGCCGGCAGCCAAGCGGGCCAAGCCCGCUGAUCCCAAACCAGGGAGCCAGAAGGGCCGCACUUGUGGGAAGUGUGGCAAGGGUCAUGAUGGAGUCUGUAGAGCGGGAUCUUGCUACAAGUGUGGCAAGGAGGGGCAUAUGGCCAAGGACUGCCCCAAGGGGUUUGCGGUGUGUUUUCACUGCAACCAGACCGGACACCGGAAGGCAGAGUGUCCGCAGUUGCGAGGAUCAUCUCAGGGAGCACCUCAGGGAUCUUCCCCUGCCGCCAUCAGAGCUACAGAGAGUCGGCCAGUGAAGGCCGAGGCGCCGAGGGCACGAGGGAGAGCUUUUCAGUUGACCGCGGAGGAGGUCCGCGCAGCGCCCGAUGUCGUGGCUGGUAUGUAUUCUUUCAUGUAUUUAUUUUGAUGUUGAGAUAUUAUGCUUAUAUUAUGUUAUGCGUAGGUACUUUUCUUGUGAAUUCUGUACCUGCCUUGGUGUUAUUUGACUCGGGUGCGAGUCGGUCUUUUGUAUCUUUGGCUUUUAGUCAGCAUAUCAGUGUUAGUCGUGAGGCGUUGAGUCGGCCUCUGAGAGUUUCCAUAGCUGAUGAGAGGGUGAUAUAUGCCACGGAGGUUCUCCGAGGUUGCGUAGUCGAGAUUUUCGGUGUUGAGUUCCCGAUUGAUCUGGUUCCUAUUGCGAUGGGUGAUGUCUGUGUCAUUGUGGGCAUGGACUGGUUGAGCAGAUUCGGUGCGGUUAUCGACUGCGAGCGACAGCUGGUGACCAUACGAGACCCUAGUGGGGGAGUUCUUUCGGUGUACGGCGAGGGUACACGUUCAGGAUCAGCGUUUUGUUCGGCCGCUAGGGCGAGGCAGUGUCUACAGCAGGGCUGUAAGGGUUUUGUGGCGUAUGUGAUGGAUACGCGGGUGGAUUCCGAGAGGCCGAGUUCAGUUGAGGAGGUUCCGGUGGUGCGUGAGUUCCCGGAUGUAUUUCCCGAGGAGUUGCCGGGUGUGCCUCCUGUGAGGCAAGUGGAGUUCAGUAUCGAUUUGGUUCCAGGGGUUGCGCCUAUCGCUACGGUGCCUUAUCGCCUUACACCUCCAGAGAUGCGAGAGUUAUCCUCGCAUCUUCAGGAGCUGCUGGGAAAGGGGUUUAUUCGGCUGAGCAGCUCGCCGUGGGGAGCGCCUAUCCUAUUUGUCAAGAAGAAGGAUGGUUCACACCGGAUGUGCAUUGAUUACCGGGAGUUGAACAAGCUGACGGUCAAGAACCGUUACCCGUUGCCGAGGAUCGAUGAUUUAUUCGAUCAGUUGCAGGGAGCAUCUUGGUUUUCCAAGAUCGAUUUGAGGUCUGGAUAUCAUCAGGUGAGGGUGCGGGAUGAGGACGUCCAGAAGACAGCGUUUAGGACGCGUUAUGGGCAUUAUGAGUUUGUGGUGAUGCCUUUCGGGCUCACCAAUGCCCCGGCAGUGUUCAUGGAUCUCAUGAACCGAGUGUGCAGGCCGAUGCUGGAUCGGUCGGUGAUUGUAUUUAUCGACGACAUUCUGGUAUAUUCGAGAUCUAGAGAGCAGCAUGAGGAGCAUUUGAGAGAGGUUCUCGGAGUUCUGAGAUCGGAGAGGCUUUAUGCCAAAUUCUCCAAGUGUGAUUUCUGGUUGCGGGAGGUCCAGUUCUUAGGACAUCUCGUUAACCAGAAAGGGAUAUUGGUCGAUCCGGCCAAGGUUGAGGCGGUGAUGAGUUGGGAGGUGCCGAGGUCACCCUCCGAGAUCAGGAGUUUCCUAGGGUUGGCAGGGUAUUAUCGGAGGUUUAUCAAGGAUUUCUCUAAGAUCGCAGUGCCACUCACCAGAUUGACCCGGAAGGGUGUUGCUUUUUCAUGGGGCCCCGAGCAGCAGGCCUCCUUUGAGACACUUCGCCAAAGGUUAUGCGAAUGACCGGUGUUAGACCUCCCGGAAGGGAUGGAGGAUUUUGUGGUAUACUGUGACGCAUCGAUUUUGGGGUUGGGGGCGGUGCUGAUGCAGAGAGGGCAUGUGAUAGCAUAUGCAUCGAGGCAGCUGAAGCCUGAUGAGAUGAGAUAUCCCGCCCAUGAUCUAGAGUUGGGGGUAGUGAUGUUCGCCCUCAAGAUUUGGCGUCACUACCUGUAUGGGGUUCGGUGUACGAUAUACACGGACCAUAAGAGUUUGAAAUAUUUGAUGGAUCAGCCCAACCUAAAUAUGCGACAGAGAAGGUGGUUGGAUGUGGUCAAGGAUUAUGAUUGUGAGAUCCUGUACCACCCAGGCAAGGCUAAUGUUGUAGCCGAUGCAUUGAGCCGCAGGGCGGAGAGCACCCCGCUGCGGGAUGUAUGUUUGAGAUUGACCGUGAUAGCUCCAGUGUUGGACGCCAUUCGUGGGGCACAGGCCGAGGCUGUGCAACCUGAGAUGCAGAAGAAAGAGCGGGUUGUUGGUUUGGUUUCAGAGUUCGUUACCGAUGGUCGGGGGCUUAUGACAUUUCAGGGGCGUAUCUGGGUGCCGUUUGUGGGAGGAACGCGUACCAUUUUGAUGGAAGAGGCUCAUCGGUCGAAAUUUUCGAUCCAUCCNAUGACUAUUUAUAGGGAAAAGACAAGUCUUGGGCUUUUAACCUAGAAUUCAUCAAAGGGGCCCAUUGCCAUCAUCCAUGGAGUGCUUUGAAACCCUACAAUCUCCCCCUCAAAGUAUGGAAUGGAUGACAAUGCUUUAACUUCCAAAACAAGCAUCUAGCAAAUAAAAAGAUCUGCAACGAGGAAUAUAUGAAGCAAUCCACGAAUCUUGAUUCUUCAAUAGUCUUCAAACACAGGCUCUAGGAUAUAUAAAUCAAGCACUGAAGUAAUGUCUUUAAACUUCAUUUUCGAAUGUAAUCCCAAAGAAUCUUCAUGAAAACCAAACCCGCCAUAAAAACCCAUUUCAGAACAAAGAAACUGAAUCACUUCUUGUCUUUGAAGAGCUCCCCCUCCAAGUCACAACGAUCUUCAAAUAAGCUAAUGAUAUAAGCCAUCAAAAAAUAUCAUGUAACAACCCAAACUUUAAGAUUCGUAACGCCACUUGAUCGAGAAAAUACAAGAAGUCGGAGAUAUAACAAGUCCUUAGCAGAGUUCGAUGAAGAACUUCUGCUGUAAAGGAUACUUCUCUGUAAAAGCUUUAGCAGAGCUCGAUGAAGAACUUCCGCUGUAAAAGCUACCUUCAUAAUUCUACCACAAGCUUUAUCAAAAUCUUCAACUUUGAAAAGUCACAAAUCCAAUUUCGAAUGCCCAUACCAAAUUCUCCCCCGAUUUAUAAUCAAAAACAUGAUUAUAAAGCCUUCAAAUGGUCAUGAGAAUGAUCUUGAAUGGAUAAAAAUUUACUAAGCUCCCCCGUGACAAAAUGAUAUUAACGAUGAAGUAUAAAAUCCGAAAAAGUCGUGAAAAUUUGACGUUAUCACGAAAAACGACUUUCCGAACCGCCAAGACUUGAUGGAAUCUUUAUUUUUCUGUUCACAAAAAAAUAUGUGCGUUAAAAAAUCCAAAACUGUUCACCGACCCUUAAAUUUGUAAUCUUUUCUAAAUAUAGGGCAGAAACUGUCACUUUCCAGAAAGUCAGGGGCUAGAAUGGUAAUACAGCAUCAAUAUACCCCUUUAUUUGUAACAAUUUCUGAAUAUAAUUCAGAAGUGCCAAGUCAUGAUAAAUUCAAGGACCAGAAACAUCAAAUCCCUAAAGUUUCAGGGACUGAAAUUGAAACUUUAAUAUCUUCAUUCCCAUUUGAUUAAAUACGACGAACAGCAACAUCGACUUAAUUCCAAAGACCGAUUCCAAUUAAUCCCACUUAUACUUUCGUUCCAAGAAUAAAGAUGCGAAUCCAAGCACAAUCACACGAACCCAAGUUCGUUUCAAGUUCGUCGAUUAUACCCCAAAGCGAAUAUUUUUUUUUUCGUUCCCGAUUUCUCACCUUUUCGUUCCGAAUCAACAGACCAAAGAGAAUCGAUAUCCAUACCGAAUCCAAUAAGAGGUUCGCUUUCUGUUCUCCCCUCUUUCAUUCGUUCACAUGCCACUUCCGAUUACAAUUUCAAUUAUGAAGGCAGAGAGCCCUAUUACCCCAAUUUUGACUUUUGCAUUGACCAAUGUUCAUCCCAGUUGAUAUUCGAUUCGUACGCAGGUAAAGGACAUUCGUUUGUUCGUAGUGAGAUCGUUCGUAUCAUGAGUUACAUAAUUUUAAUUUUGACUUUUUGCUUGACUUGACAGUUGCGAACAGAUCCUCAACACAUUCUGGUUGAGUUCAAUUACAUUCGUUCCGAUCAUCACUCACUGAUUGCGAAUUCAUUUGUUUUGAUUGUUUGAAGCCUCGAUAGCAAUACCCGCUUGGUGAUUUCGAACAGAACUUCAAAGGCAAUUCCGAAUGCAGUGAACUUCCAAUUCUAAUAGAAAUUCCGACUAUGGUUCAAGAGCCGAACACAUCCACAUCGAUUCUGUUAUCCCAAUUUCAAAUGGUUUCGAUUUUGGCUUUUUUUGGUUUCACCAUUCAAAUUGAGAUACAGUCCAAUUUAUUCGUUCAUCAUUUGUUCAUUAUAAGAGUCCGAGAUGUGUAUUUAACAAACACCCAAUCUAUACUCCAAAGAUCGAUUUCUUUCACAAAUCAUCAAUAAUUUUCAAAGAUCGAUACAGAUCUUAAAAAAUUAAAUUGACUAUAGGAAUAAGGAAACCGAAGAAAAAUGUGAUCUUGGACUAAAACAAACAGAAAUCGAUUGAUUUUCGUACAUCAACAAGCAAGAACCCCAAACAAACCAUCGAUUAUUAGUAUUUGACAAAUAAGGAAAACCAAACUGGAUGAAUGAAAACACAAAGAAGUGACGCAAACAGGAGCAUUCGAUAUUAUAUUGAGGCUAAAGAGAUGGAUCGUGAACAGUGAAAGUUUGGGCCAGAUCAAAAAGAGUGGAUUCAUAAUUGACAUUUGAUUGAAUUAAUAAACUGUUCCAAUCAUAAAUACGAUCAGAAAAAACAAAUUGGAUUAACAGAAAAUUACCCCGAUGAACAUAAAUUUUCAUGAACAGUUGCUUGAACAGAAUUUUGAUUCCAAGACGCCAAAACACCAAUAAUCUUCAAUAACUUGUGCAGAAAAUCAUCAAAUCAAGAACCGAUACUUCAAAAAUCAAUCAAUAGAUCUUCAAAGACCCGCUCUGAUACCACUUGUUGGGAUUAAAACCCUAAUUGAGAUUUGAUGAACAAGAUGCGGAACAUAAGAACAAACACAAAUAUGAAGAUUAUGUCGAAUGAUCACUCGAUUUAUUCAAAUAUGAGGAAUAAAUUACACUUUCAGCAUAGACGAAAGAAUCUAACACUACAUAAGAAACCUCACGUGGCGGCUACAUUUUGCCUCACUCUCUUAACCCUAAUAAUGAAUAAUACAUGACUAUUUAUAGGAAAAAGACAAGUCUUGGGUUUUUAACCUAGAAUUCAUCAAAGGGCCCCAUUGCCAUCAUCCAUGGAGUGCUUUGAAACCCUACACAAGUAUUAUGAUUGUGAGAUCCUGUACCACCCAGGCAAGGCUAAUGUUGUUGCCAAUGCACUGAGCUGCAGGGCGGAGAGCAUCCCACUGCGGGAUGUAUGUUUGAGAUUGAUCGUGAUAGCUCCAGUGUUGGACGCCAUUCGUGGGGCACAGGCCGAGGCUGUGCAACCUGAGAUGCAGAAGAAAGAGCGGGUUGUUGGUUUGGUUUCAUAGUUCGUUACCGAUGGUCGGGGGCUUAUGACAUUUCAGGGGCGUAUCUGGGUGCCGUUUGUGGGAGGAACGCGUACAAUUUUGAUGGAAGAGGCUCAUCGGUCGAAAUUUUCGAUCCAUCCUGGGGCCACUAAGAUGUAUUUGGACCUGAGGAAGGCGUAUUGGUGGCCCUGUAUGAAGAGGGAUGUUGCGUGGUUUGUUGAGAGGUGCUUGACCUGUCGUAGGGUUAAGGCCGAGCACCAGAGGCCGCAUGGUAAGUUGCAACCGUUGGAGGUUCCCGAAUGGAAGUGGGAACAGAUCACCAUGGAUUUUAUCACCAAAUUGCCAAGGACUGCCAGGGGAGUUGAUGCAAUUUGGGUGAUUGUGGACAGGUUGACGAAGAGCGCUCACUUUCUUGCUAUCAGCGAGAGUUCUUCAGCAGAGAAAUUGGCAGAGGUGUACGUGAGGGAAGUGGUAUCUCGGCAUGGGGUGCCGAUCUCGAUUGUUUCAGACCGAGAUGUGCGUUUCACUUCCAGAUUCUGGAAGAAGUUUCAUGAGGAGUUGGGUACUAGGCUGCAUUUUAGUACCGCAUAUCAUCCCCAGACAGACGGUCAGAGUGAGCGGACGAUUCAGACGCUCGAGGACAUGCUCCGGGCAUGUGUGUUGGAUUUCGGGGGUAGUUGGGAUGCAUAUUUGCCCUUGGCAGAGUUUUCCUACAACAACAGCCAUCAUUCGAGCAUUGGUAUGCCGCCCUUUGAGCUGUUGUAUGGGAGGAGGUGUCGGACCCCCAUUUGUUGGGGAGAGGUUGGACAGCGUGUGAUGGGCAGUACAGAGAUCGUGCUUCAGACGACAGAGCAGAUCCAGCCGGUCAGACAGAGGUUGUUGACCGCUCAGAGUCGUCAGAAGAGCUAUGCAGACAGACGCCGGUCCGAGCUUGAGUUUCAGGUCGGCGACCUUGUACUCCUGAAGGUCUCUUCUUGGAAAGGAGUGAUUCGAUUCAGGAAGAGGGGCAAAUUAGGGCCCCGAUAUAUUGGUCCAUUUUGAGUGAUCGCGAGGGUAGGCCGGGUAGCCUAUCGUUUGGAUUUGCCAGCAGAGUUGGGGCAGAUUCACAACACUUUCCAUGUGUUGCAACNCACAACACUUUCCAUGUGUCGCAACUGAGGAAGUGUAUAGCCGAUGAGUCGGCAGUGGUUCCAUUAGAGGAUAUUCAGGUAGAUGCGAGCCUGAAAUUAUGUUGAGAGACCAGUGGCAAUCAGAGAUCGGAAAAUCAAGGUUCUGAGGAACAAGGAGGUACCCUUGGUUUUGGUUCAGUGGCAACAUCGUAAGGGGUCCGAGAUGACUUGGGAGCCGGAACGUGAGAUGCGUGCGCAGCAUCCGGAGUUAUUUGCAGAGCGAGACUUCGAGGGCGAAGUCUAGUUCUAGUGGCGGAGAAUUGUAACAGCCCGGAUUCCCAGGUAUUAUUUAUUCUUAUAAUUUUUGGUGAUUUGUGAGGAGACUCGGCGAGUUAGAGCUCAGACUCGCCGAGUAGGAUCGCGGUUCUGGACGCGGGUUUGCGCCUGGACUCGGCGAGUCCAAGGAAUGGACUCGGUGAGUCCGCNCAGGGUAUGAGUCCUAUUUAAAGGGACUUAUGGCCGUCAUUUGCGGCCACCAACCCCAGAGAGAACCCUAAAGAGUCCUUGAGCGUUUUGUGAGAGAGAAGAGGAAUAUCCUUGACUAUUUGUGGGUGUUUUGCAUUUAGAAGAGGAUCAAGGAAAGAGGAGACCAAAAGAGGUGCUAAUCCAGUGAUUUUCGAGCUCAGAGACUUCAUUUGAGGUAACCAUUCGUUCCUUUCUCAUUCCUUGGUGUAAAUCUUAGAGUUAAGGUUUCUUGGUGGAAAGAUCCAUGGAGUAAUUGGCCGCUUUUUGUGUUGGUGCUUUAGAUCUGGACCCAAAGAGGUCAGAGACUCUUUUCCCUCAAGCUUUAUGAGUGUUAAUGGAGGCCAUGAGCUUAGAAUAGCAUUCUAGAGACCAUAUCAUCAAAUAAGGCCUUUGGACCUUUGCAUGAGCACCAAGAUUGUAACUUUACGUGAUGAAUGUGCUUGGAAGGACUGGAUCUAUGAGUUACUGGAACAGAUCUGACCUCAGGAGUGAGUUUGAGUUCAUGCAUGGCUUAGACUCGUCGAGUCCGAAGAACAGACUCGGCGAGUAGCAUGAAGAUUGUCCAUAACCACUCAGCGAGUGGUCUUGCCGAGUUAAGGGGUUGACUCAGUGAGUCAGGGAGAGUUAGAGUGGAUUGACAGGUGGACUGAGUCGAGCUGGAACUCGCCGAGUUGUUCUUGAGACUCGGCGAGUUGAGUCAUGGUGGCCCCGCGAUUCAUGCCAGGUGGAACUCGUCGAGUCAGGGAAGUACUCGACGUGUCAAGAGAGGAUCCUAGGGAGUCAGUGAACACGUAUAGACUCGCCGAGUCGCUCUAGUGCACUCGCCGAGUCCGGUCAAAGUUGACCGUUGACCGUUGACCAGAGUUGACCAGUGUUGACUUGAUAGGGGUAGUCAACCUUAGUUGUGAAAGUGUUAAUUAGAGAUAUAUUGUGUUAUAGGAGGAUUAUAGCUUGGGGGAUCGAGCGCGAGUGAUUUCCAGGAUUUGCGAGUUAUCGAGAUACGCAAGGUGAGUCUUCUCACUAUACUUUACCUUGAGUAGGUAAUCAGAGUUAUGUGACAAAGUAUUUGUAUGCUAUAUGUAUGUUAUGUGUUGUACUGCAUUAUUUCUAUGUGAUUUAUGUUGUGCAUGUUUAUAGAGUUGGAACCGGAAGGUUCCCAGAGUUAGAACCAGA
RNAcentral lists this long non-coding RNA (10382 nucleotides) under Lactuca sativa (garden lettuce). RNAcentral describes it as "long non-coding RNA (LSAT_LNC010312)". Lineage: Eukaryota; Viridiplantae; Streptophyta; Magnoliopsida; Asterales; Asteraceae. The record is from RNAcentral.